RNAcentral lists this unclassified non-coding RNA (1618 nucleotides) under Amphibalanus amphitrite. RNAcentral's name for it is "uncharacterized LOC122372249, transcript variant X3". The record is from RNAcentral. Lineage: Eukaryota; Metazoa; Arthropoda; Thecostraca; Balanomorpha; Balanidae.
CUCUAUGUAUGAUCAGUCGGCGAAUGCGCUGCGAGAGGACGGAACGGUGUGCGCGCCGCGGCCCGCUGUGCCGCCUGAACUCGGGACAGUGCGUGUGAGAGCGACUCGCAGCGGAGAUCGGAACGGGAGCGCACCAGAUAUCAUUCGCAUCAUGGAAAGAAGGCCAACGCCAUCUUACCGCAGACCCAACACAACAGCAGCUGCUUGCGAUGGCCCGAUGCUAAUUACGAUCGCAGCAAUCGUGGCAGCAUGACUGUCACUAACAGCGACGGUGACAGUGACAGUGACGUGACAGUGACAGUGACAGUGACAGUGACAGUGACAGUGACAGUGACAGUGAUGCUGGCGGGAUGACUCGCAAUGUCCGUCAACCCCAUCCGCCUGGAAGUCGACCGACACGCCACUCGGACCGGUAAAAGCGGUCUGUCCGAUCUCGGCGGGGUUCUGCCCGCUGCACCUGGAGAGGUGUCACGGCUCUCCGGGCUCUCUCUCUCCGCCCUCUGCCGACCCGUCGAGCGGCGCCGGCGGCUCUCUGUCGACCUCGGCCGCUCCGUCCUCGGGGUACACGCUAACACCCAUGUCCACAGCGUCCCCGCAUAUCACCUCCCACGGCCACCCGCCGCACCCGCUGCCCUCGCUGCACUGCGACUCAGAGUUUAGCACAGGUAUAUCCGGCCUGCCGCCCGUCAACCUGUACGACAAGAAGGCCAUGUUCUACCCGGUCACGCCCAACUAUGACGUCACCAGCGGUACACCAAUCAGCACGUACUACGACAGCGGUAUCAACUCGUACUCGGCUCCGAGCUACUCGAACCAGUGACUAGCGAAGAGCGGAGAGGAGAGAGCGUCUUUCUGGGUAUGCAAAUGACGCCGACAGAGGAGCGGGGCACCCCUCCGAAGGCAAAUGACGUCAUAAGGGGAUGGUUUGUUAUAAGCUAAUGCCAACGGUUUUUGUGAAAUAGUUAACCGAGCUGUUAUAGCUGCCACUAAACGGCAUUGGCUGUCUUCCGUCAGGCAAUGAAGUGCAGCAUCAGUGUAAUUAUCAACUCAAUAAUAUGCUGACAUUGUUUCUGAGCUCAAUGUUACCUAAAUGCUAACUGCCAACAGGUUCGCUGUUUGUUAUUUUAAUCAAUGCUAAAUCGUCGCUUGCGAGGAGCGUAAUCCUUCGUUGCCGGUUUGGCGUUCAUUUUUUCUGCAACUCGAGUUGCUUCUAAUGAUGUUUAUAUUAUUCCUAGCUCGAUGGUCGAGCACUGGGAAGUACCUAAUUGCUGAUAACGGAGGCCCCGAGUUGGUCAAAAAUGAUGUGGCCUUUAACGAAUUCGUCUUCAAUGUACGGCGUACUGCAACACAGGAGUGCGCCUUGUCUGCUGCGUUAUGGCACUCCUGCGCGAUAUUUGUCGCCAACUCUGUUUUAUAGCGUGUGUCUGCGCGAUGGCUGAUUGUUCACUCGGUGUUCGUAAUUGCUUCAGUGUUGUAAUGCGCUGCUCAAUAUGGGUUGGUGUGAAGUUGCCGCUGGGUGCUGCCCCGAUGACGUCACGGUCUGUUGUGUGGGCCGAUAGAUGAUGGAGGGCUACCGGGACCUGGUGUCAGAGUUGCAAUAAAUAUCGCCUGGACAUGA